GACGAACGCUGGCGGCGUGCUUAACACAUGCAAGUCGAACGGACAGGCCCUGCUUUUGUGGGGUGCUCGAGUGGCGAACGGGUGAGUAACACGUGAGUAACCUGCCCUUGACUUUGGGAUAACUUCAGGAAACUGGGGCUAAUACCGGAUAGGAGCUCCUGCUGCAUGGUGGGGGUUGGAAAGUUUCGGCGGUUGGGGAUGGACUCGCGGCUUAUCAGCUUGUUGGUGGGGUAGUGGCUUACCAAGGCUUUGACGGGUAGCCGGCCUGAGAGGGUGACCGGACACAUUGGGACUGAGAUGCGGCCCAGACUCCUACGGGAGGCAGCAGUGGGGAAUAUUGCACAAUGGGCGGAAGCCUGAUGCAGCAACGCCGCGUGCGGGAUGACGGCCUUCGGGUUGUAAACCGCUUUCGCCUGUGACGAAGCGUGAGUGACGGUAAUGGGUAAAGAAGCACCGGCUAACUACGUG
Molecule: ribosomal RNA, 468 nt
Filed under: uncultured bacterium
Lineage: Bacteria
Description: partial 16S ribosomal RNA
Rfam family: Bacterial small subunit ribosomal RNA
Source: RNAcentral